AGCAGAUUCUGUGGGUCCCGCGAGUCCCACUACGCCUGAACUUGGUCAUAAAGAUAAUCCUCAGGCCUGGCAGCCAGGCCAGAGGGGAGAGACUUGGAGAGGGAGAUGAGUUGGAACAAACAUUGAGGCUUCGGCCAUGGCAGUGCACACCUGUAAUCCCUGCACUAGGGAAGCUGAGGCAGGGGCAUCACAGCUGCAAGGCCGGCCUAAAUUAUAUGGUGAGAUCCCUGCCCCCCCCAACAAAAAACUGCUGGGGUCUUGACAAAGCCAGCCGUGGUUGGAACUGAAUGCGAGGGAGGCUCUGAGAGCUACUCGGAUUGGGGAACCCCUCGGCAGGUUUGGGGGUGCGGCACUGGAGCCCCAGACAGCCAGGGUGUGGAUCUGAGGGGAACCACACCCCUUUAUGAGCACCUCUUUGUCCCAGGCCCAGGGCCGCAGCAAAGAAGACAUCUGGUCCAGGGGCGCGAGGUGCUGCAGAGAAAAACAGUCCUCAGGGGUGAGGGCGGGAACCGCUGUCCUCUUAUUUAUUUUUGAUUUUCUGAGACAGGGCCUUGCUAUGUAGCCCAGGCUGGCCUCAAGCUCUGCAAUGAUCCUUUUGCCUCAGCCUCAAGAGUGCUGAGAUUGCAGGCGUGUGCCACCGCCGGCUAUUUGACCUUUGUGUUGAAUCGAUACAGGUGUUUAGUGCAUGCUGAUUACACUCCUUUCGGGGAGCGGGUCCAUGUACACAAUAUAUCUCAACUCUCUUUAUUUCCCUUCCGCUGCCCUCUCCCCCUUGCAUCUCUACAGAGGUCUGUCUACCUAUUCCUAUUGCCCAUCUUUUUGUUGUUGUUCCUCUUUAAAUUAUUUAUACUUUGGGUUUCUCAUAUAAGAGAAACCAUGCGCUAUUUCUGCUCGUGUGUCCAAGGAAGAGCAGAAGUGUAGGCCCUGGGCCCUCUUCCUUCCCUGGCCCUGCCUGGGUGUGGUUCAUCACGGGCAUCACACUGGUGCAUGGAGCUGUGGCGGAUGAACACCCGCGUGCUGAAGGGUCAUGCCCUUUCUCACUGGUGGGAAGAAAGGCAUGAAGACUGUCCGAGGCCACACAGAGGGAUCAGAGAAAACCCAGCAGAAAUGCCAUGGGAGAAAGGAAACCAGCUCACCCAAGGGCUCUUGGCAAGAAUCCAGGCGCUCUUGACUUGUGGCGGCAUCUUAGAGAAAGGCAGGGCACACGGCGUCCCGUGGAGGAUGUAGAGUACUUGUGGCCCUGCGACCUAACCCACAGGACGCAGAACCGGCUGAUCUCGAGGAACAAACGUGAAGAUAACUGGUUGGCAGAAUACUGGCUUUUCGAACGUGUCCACCUCUAAUCCCCGGAAUCUGAGCGUAUGCAGUGUGACCAAAAUAUACAGUGCAUGUUUAAAUUUUUUAAAUAAUUUAUCAUAUUUUAUUAGCUAUUCAGGAUGGACAUGUGCGUUGUUUCCAUUUUUUACCACGUGCCAGUAUCUUUAUGAGGUGUGAUCAAAACUGCGGUGAGGGGCCGGGGAUUUAGCUCAGUGGUUUCGCCACCUGCUGCGCAAGUGCAAGGACCUGAGUUCGAUCUCUGGUACCAAAAAAAAAAAACUGUGGUGAAUGCUGCUGCCGAGCACCACCCAGUGGAAG
This is a long non-coding RNA of Heterocephalus glaber (naked mole-rat), 1635 nucleotides long. The record is from Ensembl. NCBI's taxonomy places the organism in Eukaryota, Metazoa, Chordata, Mammalia, Rodentia, Bathyergidae.